Capsicum annuum is the source of this 485-nucleotide long non-coding RNA. RefSeq lists it as uncharacterized. The transcript is spliced from 2 exons. The record is from RefSeq and is a predicted model, not a curated record. NCBI's taxonomy places the organism in Eukaryota, Viridiplantae, Streptophyta, Magnoliopsida, Solanales, Solanaceae.
GAACUGGUAGGAUAACAAGGCUCCCUUGCACUGCUUCAUUCCUAGCUGUUUUGGCCAAAAGGUCAGCCACUUUGUUCCCUUCCCUGAAGACAUGCUCCGGAUUGGUUGCUUGGGCCCUCUCCAGCGUUGAACUGCAAUCAAUGGGCGUUAAAUUAUGGUUGAUUGCUAUGUUGAGGCCCCUCCUGAGAGCAUGUAGCUCUGCAUCUAUGGGGGGUGGUACUGGUUUUGUGCUCCAUGAAGCCAACGAUCUAUUCCCCAUUAUGGUCUCUAAUGGUGCCCCCUAGCCCCCUUUGCCCCGUUAUAAGGCACACUGAAGCAUUAGUGUUAAGUUUAAACAUACUUCUGUUUGGGGGUUUCCAAGUGCCUUGGAUAGUAGUGAAGGAGUGUUGGGGGUGGUUAGAGAUGAUGAGGUGGUAUUCCAUUGUCUGGGAGAUAAUAUCCUCUGAAUGUUAUCCUUUUUGUCAUUGAACAGGUUGUUGUUCCUA